CAAGGAGAGGUGCAGCCAGGCUCCAGCCCUUCCAUCACACAGCUGAAUUGCCUUCACCUGUGCUCCAUGGCUGACUCAGUGCUCGCCUCAGGUGGUCAAUCAGAGGCUCAGGCCCUGAUGCAGCAGUCGCUAUACACUCAGAUUCAAGAGACUUCUUCAAAAAUAAUUGGUUUCCUUGGGAAAAAAAUGUAUCUGAAGGUAUCACUGUAUACAAGUAAAUCUCUUGUCAGAUUCAACAACUCUAGUUGUUCAGUGAAAACGCUUCAGUGAGGAAUCUGAAUGAAAAGGAGUGUGAUAUGAUGCCUUAUUGUUAAACCUUUAAAUAGACUUCCGGUUUUUUAACCUCAUUGAAUCUUUUGCAAUCCAAGAAUGCUUGUGUAAGCUACUGAUACAAAAUAGUUUGCCAUCCAAUAAAAAGAUGCUAAUUAAAUCUA
Molecule: long non-coding RNA, 434 nt
Organism: Tympanuchus pallidicinctus (lesser prairie-chicken)
Lineage: Eukaryota; Metazoa; Chordata; Aves; Galliformes; Phasianidae
Exons: 2
Source: RefSeq, a predicted model, not a curated record